AGCGGCCGCGGUAAUUCCAGCUCCAAUAGCGUAUAUUAAAGUUGUUGCAGUUAAAAAGCUCGUAGUUGAAUUUUGGGUUUGGCCGAUUGGUCCGUUCUUGUAACGAGUACUGGUCGGUUGGGCCUCACCGCCUGGUGAUGCGUAAUGUCCUUUAUUGGGUGUUGCGAGUAGCCAGGACCUUUACCUUGAAAAAAUUAGAGUGUUUAAAGCAGGCUUAUGCCGGAAUACAUUAGCAUGGAAUAAUAGAAUAGGACGAUGAUUCUAUUUUGUUGGUUUCUAGGAGCAUCGUAAUGAUUAAUAGGGAUAGUUGGGGGCAUUAGUAUUCAAUUGUCAGAGGUGAAAUUCUUGGAUUUAUUGAAGACUAACUACUGCGAAAGCAUUUGCCAAGGAUGUUUUCAUUAAUCAAGAACGAAAGUUAGGGGAUCGAAGACGAUCAGAUACCGUCGUAGUCUUAACCAUAAACUAUGCCGACUAGGGAUCGGGCGAUGUUGUUUCAAUUGACUCGCUCGGCACCUUAUGG
This 520-nucleotide ribosomal RNA is filed under the name uncultured Archaeospora. Its description in RNAcentral is "SSU rRNA". It matches the Rfam family "Eukaryotic small subunit ribosomal RNA", at positions 569 to 1093 of the family's 1831-position model. The record is from RNAcentral. Lineage: Eukaryota; Fungi; Glomeromycota; Glomeromycetes; Archaeosporales; Archaeosporaceae.